RNAcentral lists this ribosomal RNA (468 nucleotides) under uncultured bacterium. Its description in RNAcentral is "partial 16S ribosomal RNA". It matches the Rfam family "Bacterial small subunit ribosomal RNA", at positions 28 to 507 of the family's 1533-position model. The record is from RNAcentral.
GACGAACGCUGGCGGCGUGCUUAACACAUGCAAGUCGAACGGAAAGGCCCUGCUUUUGUGGGGUGCUCGAGUGGCGAACGGGUGAGUAACACGUGAGUAACCUGCCCUUGACUUUGGGAUAACUUCAGGAAACUGGGGCUAAUACCGGAUAGGAGCUCCUGCUGCAUGGUGGGGGUUGGAAAGUUUCGGCGGUUGGGGAUGGACUCGCGGCUUAUCAGCUUGUUGGUGGGGUAGUGGCUUACCAAGGCUUUGACGGGUAGCCGGCCUGAGAGGGUGACCGGCCACAAUGGGACUGGGAUACCGCCCCGACUCCUUCGGGAGGCAGCAGUGGGGAAUAUUGCACAAUGGGCGGAAGCCUGAUGCAGCAACGCCGCGUGCGGGAUGACGGCCCUCGGGUUGUAAACCGCUUUCGCCUGUGACGAAGCGUGAGUGACGGUAAUGGGUAAAGAAGCACCGGCUAACUACGUG